GAGUGGCGAACGGGCGAGGAAUGCGUUUCUAACGUGCCCCAAGGUCGAGGAUAGCUCGGGGAAACCCGGGGUAAUACUCGAUGACCCCCAUGGAUCGCAUGGUUCGUGGGGCAAAGGCUUGCUGCCUUGGGAUCGGGAAACGCCCUAUCAGGUUGUUGGUGAGGUAACGGCUCACCAAGCCUAAGACGGGUAGCGGGUGUGAGAGCAUGACCCGCCGCAUCGGGACUGAGACACUGCCCGGACCCCUACGGGAGGCUGCAGCAACGGAUAUUGGGCAAUGAGCGAAAGCUUGACCCAGCAAUGCCGCGUGCAGGAGGAAGCCCCUCGGGGUGUAAACUGCUGUCAGGGUUUAGGAAGUUCUGACCAAACCCAAAGGAAGGGCCGGCUAACUUCGUGCCAGCAGCCGCGGUAAUACGAAGGGCCCAAGCGUUAAUCGGAAUCACUGGGCUUAAAGGGUGCGCAGGCGGAAUGGUCAGUGUCUUGUGAAAUCCCACGGCUCAACCGUGGAACUGCAGGGCAUACUGCCAUUCUUGAGGCCCGGUAGAGGCCGCCGGAACUCUAGGUGUAGCGGUGAAAUGCGUAGAUAUCUAGAGGAACGCCAAAGACGAAGGUAGGCGGCUGGGCCGGUUCUGACGCUCAGGCACGAAAGCGUGGGGAGCAAACAGGAUUAGAUACCCUGGUAGUCCACGCCGUAAACGUUGUGCACUAGGUGCUGGAGGUUCUGACACCAUCAGCGCCGAAGCGAAAGUGAUUAGUGCACCGCCUGGGGAGUACGGUCGCAAGGCUAAAACUCAAAGGAAUUGACGGGGGCUCACACAAGCGGUGGAGCAUGUGGCUUAAUUCGAGGCAACGCGAAGAACCUUAUCCUGGGCUUGACAUGCAUGGAUUAACGCUGGGAAACCAGCGCCACACUCUUUGAGUGGAACAUGCACAGGUGCUGCAUGGCUGUCGUCAGCUCGUGCUGUGAAGUGUUGGGUUAAGUCCCUUAACGAGCGAAACCCCUGUCGCUAGUUACCAUCAGGUAAUGCUGGGGACUCUAGCGAGACUGCCGGUGUCAAACCGGAGGAAGGCGGGGAUGACGUCAAGUCCUCAUGGCCUUUAUGCCCAGGGCUGCACACGUGCUACAAUGGCGCCGACAGAGCGAAGCAAAACCGCGAGGUAGAGCAAAUCGCAAAAAAGGUGCCCCAGUUCGGAUUGCAGUCUGCAACUCGACUGCAUGAAGCCGGAAUCGCUAGUAAUCGCGUAUCAGCAACGACGCGGUGAAUACGUUCCUGAGCCUUGUACACACCGCCCGUCAAGUCAUGGAAGCCGGGAGUACCCGAAG
This 1324-nucleotide ribosomal RNA is filed under the name uncultured organism. Its description in RNAcentral is "16S ribosomal RNA". It matches the Rfam family "Bacterial small subunit ribosomal RNA", at positions 93 to 1426 of the family's 1533-position model. The record is from RNAcentral.